UACGUAGGGGGCGAGCGUUGUCCGGAUUUAUUGGGCGUAAAGAGCGCGUAGGCGGCUAGGUAAGUCCGACGUGAAAUCUGGAGGCUCAACCUCCAGCGGUCGUUGGAAACUACUUGGCUAGAGUCCGGAAGAGGAGAGUGGAAUUCCUGGUGUAGCGGUGAAAUGCGCAGAUAUCAGGAAGAACACCGAUGGCGAAAGCAGCUCUCUGGGACGGUACUGACGCUGAGGCGCGAAAGCGUGGGGAGCGAACAGG
RNAcentral lists this ribosomal RNA (253 nucleotides) under uncultured bacterium. Its description in RNAcentral is "partial 16S ribosomal RNA". It matches the Rfam family "Bacterial small subunit ribosomal RNA", at positions 524 to 776 of the family's 1533-position model. The record is from RNAcentral.